UUUUUAAUAUGCAUUUUUAUCUUAUUAUCGAGAAGAGCAUUUGUUAUUGGACUACAGCACUUAACUUCACUGCAGACUAAUUAGAGCCAUUUUACAACUAUUAUUGUUGAUAAGGGCCAAAGAGGUCUGCAGAGAGACUUGUAUUGUCCAGGCUAUUUCUUGGCAUGCAGUUAUGUCCAUGUGGGUGAGUAAUUCUAGCUCCCUUGCAAUGUCUCCUUGACAACUAACAAUAAUACACCUCCUCUUAAUAGCGCAAGAAAUCACACACAAGAUGUGUAGAGGCACACUUGGAAUGUGUGUGUGUGUCUGCUGUGUAUCUGUAUACGUGGACGCAUUGGUCACACAUGCAUAAUGCACCUUUACGUACACGCAAAAACACCUUCAUGCAGUCAGACCUUAGAUCGUGUUCACGACAGCAGCCUACAUGUGAGUUUUUUUGCCCAGGAAGAGAGACUGGACCAGGGGGAACACCUUAACAGGUAGCCCUGGGGUGCUUAACAUAGUCCGGGCAGCCAGGGGGAGAGAGUGGCUCUGGGAAGCCGUACCACCACUAUCCUCUCUGUCCACUGAUUAUGAAGCAGGUCCCAGACGGGUGCCUUUAGGAACCCCCCAGGCUACUCACAGCCUCCUUCUCCUCUGUUACAGGAUCUGUCGCUGGGGGAUUCGACUGAAGUGUGAAGAGGGGUGUAUGCAGGAGACAUGCUGAGAAUUCUAAAUAGUCCCCCAGCCAGCUCCCCGGGCCCCCGAAGAGGAACCAGCGGCAUGAUGUCACACACCUGUUUGGCUGGAGGCUGCGGCCCGGCGAUGCUUGCAGCCGUGGGUGUCGCGCUGGCACCCCUCGGCCUCCCCCAACCCCACCUCACCCCACCCUUGUCGCUGCCUGCUACGCCCCGUGGAUGUGUCAAAAUGGCAGAUGAUGGUUGGGGUGUGUGCAGCUGCUUGGGAAGAGGAGUGCCAAGGGCGCUCAUUUCCUGCGGUCAGUGCAAAGCCAAGAUAUUCCUGAGGACUGAUUAGGCUCAUGCUUGUACUUUCAAAAUGCUGAUUAUUGCAGGGACCCGACAGGCCUUGUGUUUUUCUCCAAGCAUUCUGGGGAUGUGAGUCCGAAAGUAGCCCCAUGGUGCCGUGACCCCUGACCU
This 1136-nucleotide long non-coding RNA is filed under the name Oreochromis niloticus (Nile tilapia). RNAcentral's name for it is "lncRNA (ENSONIG00000026759.2)". The record is from RNAcentral. Lineage: Eukaryota; Metazoa; Chordata; Actinopteri; Cichliformes; Cichlidae.